RNAcentral lists this transfer RNA (72 nucleotides) under Microbotryum intermedium. It matches the Rfam family "tRNA". Rfam says of the family: Transfer RNA (tRNA) molecules are approximately 80 nucleotides in length. Their secondary structure includes four short double-helical elements and three loops (D, anti-codon, and T loops). RNAcentral also lists the same sequence under 3 other names. Lineage: Eukaryota; Fungi; Basidiomycota; Microbotryomycetes; Microbotryales; Microbotryaceae. The record is from Rfam by way of RNAcentral.
GGUCCCAUAGUAUAUCGGCUAGUACAUCCGGUUCUGAUCCGGGGGAGGCCGGUUCGACUCCGGCUGGGACCU